Molecule: small RNA, 27 nt
Filed under: Bombyx mori (domestic silkworm)
Lineage: Eukaryota; Metazoa; Arthropoda; Insecta; Lepidoptera; Bombycidae
Description: ovarian small RNA-32379
Source: RNAcentral
UGAUACCACGGUGCGUAUGCCCUCCAU